GCCCCUUUGAAAGCACUGCUGUGUCACUUAAGAAGUCUGCUUUUCUUCCCACUGGGGAACUAGGAGAGAUCAGAGAUCUGAGUUGCCUGAACAUCUAGAUGACUCUAAAACACAGCAAAAGCUCAGGACAAAUAUCAAACUGAGCCUCAGUAGAUAUCCUUGCACAGUAUUUACCUUACAAUGUAGCCGAUAGUUUUCAGAACAGCCAUUCCACUAUUAUUGAAGUAAAGGAGCUAAUCUAAGGGAAGGUAAGUGAAGAAAGCAAUGCUGUGAUAUCGCAGGAUGAAACAAAAAUCUCAGCAGCACUGGACAUAAUGUGCCACUAACUGCAAACAUUUCUGUCACUAACUUUCUCUGCCAAUUUACUCUUUGACAGCUUUAAAGGUAAUAAAAAUAAGAAUUACAGGCAUAUUUCAAUCGACUGCAACACUCUGGAGGACGGCGAAGAAGACUUGGACAGUUUGCAGUAUUUUAUUGAUGAGUGUUUAGCAAACAUUCAACACUCCACUAGUUAGUUUAAACAUGACCACCCUGAGGUUUGUCUCAUGGAAUGUAUGUGGAAUCGGUUCCAGGGAAAAGAGGCUUAAAAUUACUAACCGAUUAAAUGACUUACAGGCAGACAUUGUCUUUCUACAGGAGACUCACAUGUCCAAAACAUCUUGUACACACACUCACUUCUCCACAGUUCCCUCACACGUUCUCAGCCUGUUACAACUCAAAACAAAGAGGCGUAGCCAAAUUAAUUAGCAGAAAAAUAAACUUCACUGUUAGCAACACUAUUACAGAUCUAGAAGGCAAAGUUUACAAAACUUAAUUUAUGUAUUCAAAAUAUGGAUCUGUCAUAUGCUGUGGGAGUGUCUGGUCGGGUGUGGUCCAGGUUCCUGUUGUCCGUCCCCUGGGGUGGAGUUGGCCAGCUCAUCACCUGCUUCCAAUUUCCGGGGCUCCAUCUAGAGGGUUUUUAAGCCAGCACUGCCUGCUACUCCUCGCCAGUUCGUCCUGCUACCACCCGUGAUUCAUCACCCGUCGUACUCACCAGCAGUGCUGGUUCUGUUUCCGUCCCGUUCUCCCGUCUGCCCAGAACCCGAGGACCACACACUCAUCUUCUCCUCAGCCUGCCCUCCAGCCCGUACUUCAACCUCCCUGGACACCUUGGAACCUGGACCAGCCUCCCCACACUCUCAACCAUCCCUGGAACGCCCCCCACGGCAACCCCUUCCCCGCCUAAUAGCCGGUGUUUUCAAAAGUUCCCGCCCAUGUUCUCCCUGUGUUCUACGUCCGUUUCUCCGCCCUCGGGCCUCCCUCAGUUCCUGCGAAUUAUUUCUGUUAGACCCAGUCUUGUUCCUUUUCCUUUCAAUAAAUUGUACAUAG
Molecule: long non-coding RNA, 1368 nt
Organism: Haplochromis burtoni (Burton's mouthbrooder)
Lineage: Eukaryota; Metazoa; Chordata; Actinopteri; Cichliformes; Cichlidae
Exons: 3
Source: RefSeq, a predicted model, not a curated record